Molecule: ribosomal RNA, 850 nt
Filed under: Streptomyces sp. Sp080513IM-22
Lineage: Bacteria; Bacillati; Actinomycetota; Actinomycetes; Kitasatosporales; Streptomycetaceae
Description: bacterial SSU rRNA
Rfam family: Bacterial small subunit ribosomal RNA
Source: RNAcentral
GGCGGCGUGCUUAACACAUGCAAGUCGAACGAUGAACCACUUCGGUGGGGAUUAGUGGCGAACGGGUGAGUAACACGUGGGCAAUCUGCCCUGCACUCUGGGACAAGCCCUGGAAACGGGGUCUAAUACCGGAUAUGACCCUCGCAGGCAUCUGUGAGGGUGUAAAGCUCCGGCGGUGCAGGAUGAGCCCGCGGCCUAUCAGCUUGUUGGUGAGGUAACGGCUCACCAAGGCGACGACGGGUAGCCGGCCUGAGAGGGCGACCGGCCACACUGGGACUGAGACACGGCCCAGACUCCUACGGGAGGCAGCAGUGGGGAAUAUUGCACAAUGGGCGAAAGCCUGAUGCAGCGACGCCGCGUGAGGGAUGACGGCCUUCGGGUUGUAAACCUCUUUCAGCAGGGAAGAAGCGAAAGUGACGGUACCUGCAGAAGAAGCGCCGGCUAACUACGUGCCAGCAGCCGCGGUAAUACGUAGGGCGCAAGCGUUGUCCGGAAUUAUUGGGCGUAAAGAGCUCGUAGGCGGCUUGUCGCGUCGGUUGUGAAAGCCCGGGGCUUAACCCCGGGUCUGCAGUCGAUACGGGCAGGCUAGAGUUCGGUAGGGGAGAUCGGAAUUCCUGGUGUAGCGGUGAAAUGCGCAGAUAUCAGGAGGAACACCGGUGGCGAAGGCGGAUCUCUGGGCCGAUACUGACGCUGAGGAGCGAAAGCGUGGGGAGCGAACAGGAUUAGAUACCCUGGUAGUCCACGCCGUAAACGGUGGGCACUAGGUGUGGGCGACAUUCCACGUCGUCCGUGCCGCAGCUAACGCAUUAAGUGCCCCGCCUGGGGGAGUACGGCCGCAAGGCUAAAACUC